ACAACUUCUUCAAUAAGUUGAUGGGACGGGCGUCUAAUCUGGUAACGGAUUAGAUGAUAACUGGGUGAAUUGCUGGAACUUCCUAAAGUGCUUUGUACCACAACGUAGCUGGAAACGGCAGACGUGAAGGUUUGAAAAACAAAGCAAUCAUACAAUGGAUAAUCAGCAUCCAAGCGCCUGUGGCGAAAGCCUGGCGAAGGUUCAACGACUAGAAUGUACUACCUAACGAGAAAUCUAUGGCAAUGAGAUUCGUAGGAUAAUGAAUAAUUAUUCGAAGCGCCCAGCCCCUUUGGAUGUACAAAGGGUGAAGAUAUAGUCUGUUCUAUGUUCGAAAGACAUAG
RNAcentral lists this non-coding RNA (341 nucleotides) under Oceanobacillus picturae. RNAcentral describes it as "Intron_gpI". It matches the Rfam family "Group I catalytic intron". Rfam says of the family: Group I catalytic introns are large self-splicing ribozymes. Lineage: Bacteria; Bacillati; Bacillota; Bacilli; Caryophanales; Bacillaceae. The record is from RNAcentral.